This 333-nucleotide unclassified non-coding RNA is filed under the name soil metagenome. Its description in RNAcentral is "partial contains 5.8S ribosomal RNA, internal transcribed spacer 2, and large subunit ribosomal RNA". The stretch from base 1 to 120 matches the Rfam family "5.8S ribosomal RNA", at positions 35 to 154 of the family's 154-position model. The record is from RNAcentral.
GAUGAAGAACGUAGCGAAAUGCGAUACGUAAUGUGAAUUGCAGAAUUCAGUGAAUCAUCGAAUCUUUGAACGCACAUUGCGCCUGCCAGCACUCUGGCAGGCAUGCCUGUUCGAGCGUCAUUUCAACCAUCAAGCCCUAGGCUUGCGUUGGAGCCCUGCGGCUGCCGCAGGCCCCUAAAAGCAGUGGCGGGCUCGCUAUCACACCGAGUGCAGUAGAUUACUCUUCGCUCAGGGCGUGUGGCGGGUUCCAGCCGUGAAACCCCCUACUUCUCAAGGUUGACCUCGGAUCAGGUAGGAAUACCCGCUGAACUUAAGCAUAUCAAAAGCGGAGGA